GUUUAGACUCUCCUUUCACUCUCUCAGUAACCAGCACCUCUCAUCUCUGCAUUGAUAGUUGGAUCUAUUCAGUGCUAAGACCAUGGACCUGGCUGACCGCAUGACCUAGAUCCAUUGAGCCGUGAUUAGAGACUUUGAAUGGAAGCAGACAACUGACCUUUCAGUACCCCUGCAGGUUCGUUCACCUCUUCAACCCACUCAUCGUUUGUCUUUGUGGCUCGGACCCUCUCCUGCCAUUUUAUUGGUUAGCUGGUGACACACCACCUCUGGGAACACAGCCAUAACAGAUCAAACACAUGCCUAAGCACACAAAAAGCGGCUGACCCAUCCUGACACAAGACAAAGGAGGCGGUGUGUGACCCUCGCCGCCUGUUUACAUUUGCUUCCUGUCCAUGACCGACUGUCGGAGCAGGGCUCCGUCUCACAACAUUGAUCGCUUGUCACAUAGGUGACACGGGGAUAUAAACACGUUGAAAAUUCCAAACAUAACUCACAGCUUUAAGUAUAUUGUUGCACAUACAUCGAGUUUCUAUCCAGUCGUCCACUUUUAAUGGUGGGUCAAACCCACGGUCUAAAAUCUAGGCCAUAUAACACGUUUAAUAUCUACCUGUGUUAUUGGUACAAGACCAGUGGAGCAAUUCAGUUCAUUUCAGUUCCAUCAGGACAAACGGAUGAGAAUGAGUUUAAUUGGAAUCAAAUUUGGACCCUGGCAGGAAGUAGAACAUCACGGAAGCAGUCCAAUGAAUUAAAUGCUUCAGAGCCAAGACACUGGUGGUGGUGGUGAGGAAUGGAGCUGAAGUUGGGACGUCUCAUGAAGGGCUUCUGGUCGGGCGGUUUGAUGGGACAUGACCGGGCGUCCAGAGUUGAGGUGGUGCAGGUGGAGAGUUACCGUGGCGAUGGGGGGUCGGUAGUUGCUCAUUGGUGUGGCGCCAGAUAGGAAGCAGCUGACCGCUGUGCAGGGAGUGGACAACAAAGGACACACAGAACCUCAGGCAAGAAAAGAAAAGUGUGUGGGUGUGUGUGUGGGUGUGAGUCAUAGUGUGUAAAUAUGUAGAUCAUUGUUUUCUUUUCUGUGGUGCCAUUUUUGGAAGGAGUGAGGGCAAUACCCAGCUGUACGAUAUUACUGACUUUAUGACACUUUAUUAUACAUUUACUAACGACAACAACUGAAGAAAUAUAUUGAUUAGAACGCGCUGUAACAGUAUAGUGUAGUUGUGAACAUAUGAGAAUAUUUCAAGUGUUUAUUAAUAUAUUUUUCGAAGGAUAACUUCUCUGAUGAUGCAUCAAUAACUGGUGUAUAAACACCUAAGAAAUGCUCGAUAACACAAUAUAACACUGAAUUAACUUGUGGAGUUUUGUCCAUCAUGUGUGUCAAAUGUAAAAAUAACUUAAAACUGCAUUAUAGUCUUAUAAACAUAUACUAGCGCUAAAAAUGCUAAAUACAGUUAAAUUAUAGUGAUGUCCUUCAUUUGUGUGCAAAUGUAUGCCAAGGCAAAAUUAAACACAAGUUUAACUUCAGUUAAUGAUGAUCCCAAUUUUCACGACUAUGUACGGUUUCUGAGACUUAUUACCUUAUAGGGUAAGACUGGAAAUUUUAGACGCGAUACACACAUCAGGCCGAGGGAAAUGAUUGGCAUGCCGCGAGCCGCCCGAGAGACAGAAAACAGAAACAAAGCACGUCUGUAAAUAGUGCGGCCGUACGUCUGUGUGCUCCCUGUGGCUCCUGCCGACUUCCUUAUCUGAGAGGCAUCGCUCGGGUUGCUCCUCUGAAGUCAACGCUGCCCAUUGUCCCUGGAAAGAGCGCAAUUUCACCGCCGGUACAAUGGGACUGACAGGGCAGGGACACGGGGCAGAGCUGAGGUUUCAUAUGGACCAUAUAUGGUAGUUGAGCAGACAAUGGGGGAAGUAUUGAACUGCUCAGGGUUGAUUUUAGCCAUGUCCAUAUUUAGUAAGUUACGAUACGCAUGUGUCUCUGUGCGUAUCUGUGAAUGCUUACCAGGAGAAAUACACAUCACUAUGCAUUUAUGUUUUUUAAGCCAAGAAUGAUUAUUAUGUAAAGUGGAAAAUUGGAG
This is a long non-coding RNA of Scophthalmus maximus (turbot), 2072 nucleotides long. RefSeq lists it as uncharacterized. The transcript is spliced from 3 exons. The record is from RefSeq and is a predicted model, not a curated record. NCBI's taxonomy places the organism in Eukaryota, Metazoa, Chordata, Actinopteri, Pleuronectiformes, Scophthalmidae.